Lynx canadensis (Canada lynx) is the source of this 232-nucleotide long non-coding RNA. RefSeq lists it as uncharacterized. The transcript has 3 exons. The record is from RefSeq and is a predicted model, not a curated record. Lineage: Eukaryota; Metazoa; Chordata; Mammalia; Carnivora; Felidae.
UGAACAAGAGGAGCCCCUGAAGGAAAGUGAAAGGGAAGAUUCCAUGGAAGGAAAGGAGGAGCACACGAAGAAACGGAGCCAAUGAAGGUCUUGAAAACCACAUAGCACAGUUCAGGCUACUGGAAGAAACUCAAAGUUUGAGUGAUGCUGUAAAGCAGACGAGCAACCAAGGAUUUUGGGACUUGAGUGAAUUUUCUUGGAUCAGACCCAGAGGGAAGAAAAUGAUGUGAUC